GCGCUGCAUUAGCUAGUUGGUAAGGUAACGGCUUACCAAGGCAACGAUGCAUAGCCGACCUGAGAGGGUGAUCGGCCACACUGGAACUGAGACACGGUCCAGACUCCUACGGGAGGCAGCAGUAGGGAAUCUUCCGCAAUGGGCGAAAGCCUGACGGAGCAACGCCGCGUGAGUGAUGAAGGUCUUCGGAUCGUAAAACUCUGUUAUUAGGGAAGAACAUAUGUGUAAGUAACUGUGCACAUCUUGACGGUACCUAAUCAGAAAGCCACGGCUAACUACGUGCCAGCAGCCGCGGUAAUACGUAGGUGGCAAGCGUUAUCCGGAAUUAUUGGGCGUAAAGCGCGCGUAGGCGGUUUUUUAAGUCUGAUGUGAAAGCCCACGGCUCAACCGUGGAGGGUCAUUGGAAACUGGAAAACUUGAGUGCAGAAGAGGAAAGUGGAAUUCCAUGUGUAGCGGUGAAAUGCGCAGAGAUAUGGAGGAACAC
This 484-nucleotide ribosomal RNA is filed under the name Staphylococcus aureus. RNAcentral's name for it is "bacterial SSU rRNA". It matches the Rfam family "Bacterial small subunit ribosomal RNA", at positions 233 to 709 of the family's 1533-position model. The record is from RNAcentral. Lineage: Bacteria; Bacillati; Bacillota; Bacilli; Caryophanales; Staphylococcaceae.